UACGGAGGGUGCAAGCGUUAAUCGGAAUUACUGGGCGUAAAGCGCACGCAGGUGGCUGAGUCAGUCGAUUGUGAAAGCCCUGGGCUUAACCUGGGAAUUGCAGUCGAUACUACUCAGCUAGAGUAUGGGAGAGGGUAGUGGAAUUCCCGGUGUAGCGGUGAAAUGCGUAGAUAUCGGGAGGAACAUCAGUGGCGAAGGCGGCUACCUGGCCCAAUACUGACACUCAGGUGCGACAGCGCGGGGAGCAAACAGG
RNAcentral lists this ribosomal RNA (253 nucleotides) under uncultured bacterium. RNAcentral describes it as "partial 16S ribosomal RNA". It matches the Rfam family "Bacterial small subunit ribosomal RNA", at positions 524 to 776 of the family's 1533-position model. The record is from RNAcentral.